UGGGGGAUAUUGCACAAUGGGGGAAACCCUGAUGCAGCGACGCCGCGUGGAGGAAGAAGGUUUUCGGAUUGUAAACUCCUGUCGUUAGGGACGAUAAUGACGGUACCUAACAAGAAAGCACCGGCUAACUACGUGCCAGCAGCCGCGGUAAAACGUAGGGUGCAAGCGUUGUCCGGAAUUACUGGGCGUAAAGGGAGCGUAGACGGAACGGCAAGUUUGAAGUGAGAUACCCGGGCUUAACCCGGGAACUGCUUUGAAACUGUCGAUCUAGAGUGUCGGAGAGGUAAGUGGAAUUCCUGGUGUAGUAGUGAAAUGCGUAGAUAUCAGGAAGAACACCGGAGGCGAAGGCGGCUUACUGGGCGAUAACUGACGUUGAGGCUCGAAAGCGUGGGGAGCAAACAGGAUUAGAUACCCUGGUAGU
Molecule: ribosomal RNA, 421 nt
Filed under: uncultured Oribacterium sp.
Lineage: Bacteria; Bacillati; Bacillota; Clostridia; Lachnospirales; Lachnospiraceae
Description: bacterial SSU rRNA
Rfam family: Bacterial small subunit ribosomal RNA
Source: RNAcentral